UACGUAGGGGGCGAGCGUUGUCCGGAAUCAUUGGGCGUAAAGAGCACGUAGGCGGCCUGUCAAGUCGGAUGUGAAAACCCGUGGCUCAACUGCGGGACUGCAUUCGAAACUGGCAGGCUAGAGUCCAGUAGAGGAAAGUGGAAUUCCCAGUGUAGCGGUGAAAUGCGCAGAUAUUGGGAAGAACACCGGUGGCGAAGGCGGCUUUCUGGGCUGAGACUGACGCUGAGGUGCGAAAGCUAGGGGAG
Molecule: ribosomal RNA, 245 nt
Filed under: uncultured bacterium
Lineage: Bacteria
Description: partial 16S ribosomal RNA
Rfam family: Bacterial small subunit ribosomal RNA
Source: RNAcentral